UCAAUUGAACGAACCGCUCCCACGCACUACAUUGAGCUUGCCGGUUUUCCGGCUAUGACGAUAAAUGGCCUGUGUAAUAAACCUAUCGGACCCGGGGGCGGUACCCGGCGCCUCCACCAGAAACCAUCGUGAAGAUUGAAGCGAUGGCUUCUGAUGGGGGCGAAACAGGAUCGACGAGGGCGUAAAGACAGUGUUUUCGUUCGGCAUGGUACCCACCGUUAUCGGGCCAAACUCAAUAGUUGCAAACGACAACUAUGCGGAAGCACGUCUCGCUGCCUAAGGCGGUGUGACAGCUUCACAGAACUCCUGAGGGUUCGCACCUUCAGGCGGGGUUCGGAGGCACCUGNNNNNCCUGGCAACAGAAGCCUCCACU
This 373-nucleotide transfer-messenger RNA is filed under the name Nitratireductor sp. It matches the Rfam family "Alphaproteobacteria transfer-messenger RNA". Rfam says of the family: Bacterial tmRNA, also known as 10Sa RNA or SsrA, is named for its dual tRNA and mRNA-like properties. Its role is to liberate the mRNA from a stalled ribosome. Lineage: Bacteria; Pseudomonadati; Pseudomonadota; Alphaproteobacteria; Hyphomicrobiales; Phyllobacteriaceae. The record is from RNAcentral.